This 399-nucleotide ribosomal RNA is filed under the name uncultured bacterium. RNAcentral's name for it is "bacterial SSU rRNA". It matches the Rfam family "Bacterial small subunit ribosomal RNA", at positions 28 to 433 of the family's 1533-position model. The record is from RNAcentral.
GACGAACGCUGGCGGCGUGCUUAACACAUGCAAGUCGAGCGGUAAGGCCCUUUCGGGGGUACACGAGCGGCGAACGGGUGAGUAACACGUGGGUGACCUGCCCUCAGCUCUGGGAUAAGCCUGGGAAACUGGGUCUAAUACUGGAUAUGACUCCACGGUGCAUGUCGUGGGGUGGAAAGCCUUGUGCGGCUGAGGAUGGGCCCGCGGCCUAUCAGCUUGUUGGUGGGGUGANGGCCUACCAAGGCGACGACGGGUAGCCGGCCUGAGAGGGCGACCGGCCACACUGGGACUGAGACACGGCCCAGACUCCUACGGGAGGCAGCAGUGGGGAAUCUUGCGCAAUGGGCGAAAGCCUGACGCAGCGACGCCGCGUGAGGGAUGACGGCCUGGUGUAACUAC